AUUGAACGCUGGCGGCGUGCCUAACACAUGCAAGUCGAGCGGUAACAGGUGUAGCAAUACAUGCUGACGAGCGGCGAACGGGUGAGUAAUGCUUCGGAAUCUUCCCAUGUAGUGGGGAAUAACUAGCCGAAAGGUUAGCUAAUACCGCAUACGUCCCCUCUUCUAACGAUGGGGGGANAAAGCAGGGGAUCGCAAGACCUUGCGCUAUUGGAUGAGCCGAAGCGGAUUAGCUAGUUGGUAGGUAACGGCCUACCAAGGCGACAAUCCGUAGCUGGUCUGAGAGGACGACCAGCCACACUGGGACU
RNAcentral lists this ribosomal RNA (305 nucleotides) under uncultured bacterium. Its description in RNAcentral is "bacterial SSU rRNA". It matches the Rfam family "Bacterial small subunit ribosomal RNA", at positions 30 to 320 of the family's 1533-position model. The record is from RNAcentral.